GCAGUUUGAUUUUAUUUGCCAUGAGAUGCCACGUCCCUAUCUUUUGGUUCUGGAUGCUUCCAUUCUUGGACUGGACGGUGUUCCUGAUUGUGUUUGGGCCAAGCAUAAAUUUGAUGUUGGUCUCAUACAGAAUUGUGAACCUUUGGUUGUGAACCCCAAAUCUCACUUCAGACCCCGACGGGCGCAGUACCCCUUGAAGCCUGAGGCAAUUGAGGGCAUCACCCCAGUUUUUAACUCAUUUUUGGAAGCAGGUAUAGUCAUCCCCUGUGAUGGUUCCCCUGUUAACACCCCGAAUUUGCCCGUUAAGAAGUAUCGCCCUCCUCCAUUGGGAAAAAAAAUAAAUAAAUAAAAGAGAAGAAGUCACGUUCCUUGGCCAUGUUGUCAGUACAGAAGGUAGAAGCCUUUCCUCCAAACAUCUCACUGCAAUCCAACAGGCGCCGAGACCGGAGACUGUUAAGCAACUCCUGUCUUUCGUUGGGUUGUGCUCAUACUGCAGGAUUUCUGUUCCAAACUUUUCAGAGAUAACCAGGCCCCUAUAGGCCUACUGGAUCCACCCAAGCCAUUCACUCAGACUGUGGAUGAAGGAGGGAGCUGCGUGACAUCUGUCCUCCUCCAGGAUCAUGGUGGAACUCUCAGACCUGUGGCUUAUUUCUCCUGUAAGCUUGAUCCUGUUGCUGCUGGACUUCCUCGCUGCCCGAGUGCCAUUGCUGCUGCAGAGAGGGCCGAGCAGCUUCCAGAGAUCUUGUGGGCUAUUCUGACAUUGCUGGUCCUCCGUGAAGUCCACC
This is a long non-coding RNA of Oryzias melastigma (Indian medaka), 785 nucleotides long. RefSeq lists it as uncharacterized. The record is from RefSeq and is a predicted model, not a curated record. NCBI's taxonomy places the organism in Eukaryota, Metazoa, Chordata, Actinopteri, Beloniformes, Adrianichthyidae. The transcript has 2 exons.